UAUGGAGGAGAAUAUCAAUGACUUCUGAAAAAGAAAACAUUAGCAGCCAAAUAAGCCAGUCUGCCUGUGGAAUGAAGGCUCCAGUUUUUGACCUCUAGUGAAAGAAGAAAGAAUCCUCAUUGAGUUGACCUUGAACAACACAGGUUUCAGCUGCUUGGGGCCAUUUAGGCAUGGAUUUUCUUCUGCCUCUGCCACCCCGAGACAACAAGACCAACCCCUCCCGCCCUCCUCCUCCUUAGCCUAGCCAAUGUGAAGAUGACAAGAAUGAAGAUGUUUGUGAUGAUCCACUUCCACUUGAUGAACAAUGUUGGUGAGAAACUGAUUCAGAAACAAUAAAGUUGUGGUGAAUAAAGCUCUGGUCUGACAAGCAAAACAGACAAAUCUGUCAUGUACUGGGCAUUGUGAUACCUACUUGAAGCACAUUAUCUUUCCAAGAUGUUAAGCUGUAUACGGGAUGAUCUUGGAGGCCAAGUUUUGAAGAUGGCAGAGUCACAAAAUGGAAAAAUCCUGAGUUCCUAAAACUCCACUUGGUCUAGAGUGGCCCAUGAAUCAGGAGAUCCUUAUGGACUUUAUAUGAGCAAGAAAUAAACUUCUAUCUAGUAAGCUA
This is a long non-coding RNA of Symphalangus syndactylus (siamang), 607 nucleotides long. RefSeq lists it as uncharacterized. The record is from RefSeq and is a predicted model, not a curated record. NCBI's taxonomy places the organism in Eukaryota, Metazoa, Chordata, Mammalia, Primates, Hylobatidae.